UAGAAUUCCAGGAGUAGCGGUGAAAUGCGUAGAUAUCUGGAGGAAUACCAAAGGCGAAGGCAGUCCCCUGGUCCGAUACUGACACUGAGGUACGAAAGCGUGGGGAGCAAACAGGAUUAGAUACCCUGGUAGUCCACGCCCUAAACGAUGUCGAUUAGCCAUUGGAAGGACCCCUUUUCCUUUCAGUGACGUAGCUAACGCGUUAAAUCGACCGCCUGGGAAGUACGACCGCAAGGUUAAAACUCAAAGGAAUUGACGGGGACCUGAACAAGCGGUGAAUGAUGUGGAUUAAUUCGAUGCUACGCGAAGAACCUUACCUACCUUUGACAUGGCCAAAGUUCUACCGAGAGGCGGAAGUACUCGUAAGAGGAUUGGCGCACAGGUGCUGCAUGGCUGUCGUCAGUUCGUGUCGUGAGAUGUUGGGUUCAGUCCCGCAACGAACGCAACCCUUAUCUUUAAUUGCUCCUAUUUUAACAGGCACUUUAAAGAAACUGCCAAUGAUAAGUUGGAGGAAGGUGGGGAUCACGUCAAGUCCGCAUGGCCUUUAUAGGUAGGGCUUCACACGUCAUACAAUGGUUAGAACAAAGAGCUGCAAAUUCGUAAGAAGGAGCCAAUCUCACAAACCUAACCUCAGUUCGAAUUGCGGUCUGCAACUCGAGCGCAUGAAGCCGGAAUCGCUGGUAAUCGUGGAUCAGAAUGC
This 700-nucleotide ribosomal RNA is filed under the name uncultured Candidatus Tremblayella sp. RNAcentral's name for it is "bacterial SSU rRNA". It matches the Rfam family "Bacterial small subunit ribosomal RNA", at positions 662 to 1357 of the family's 1533-position model. Lineage: Bacteria; Pseudomonadati; Pseudomonadota; Betaproteobacteria. The record is from RNAcentral.